UACAGAGGGCGCGAGCGUUGUCCGGAAUCACUGGGCGUAAAGGGCGCGUAGGUGGCCACUAUAGGGCCGCGGUGAAAGUUCGGGGCUCAACCCUGAAUCUGCCGCGGCGACUGUAGGGCUUGGGCACCGUAGAGGCAGAUGGAAUUCCGGGUGUAGCGGUGGAAUGCGUAGAGAUCCGGAAGAACACCGGUGGCGAAGGCGGGUCUCUGGGCCGAUACUGACGCUGAGGAGCGAAAGCGUGGGGAGCGAACAGG
This 254-nucleotide ribosomal RNA is filed under the name uncultured bacterium. Its description in RNAcentral is "partial 16S ribosomal RNA". It matches the Rfam family "Bacterial small subunit ribosomal RNA", at positions 524 to 776 of the family's 1533-position model. The record is from RNAcentral.